GAAGAACAUGUCCUUCCCCAAUUCCCAAAUCAUGCAUUUCUUAAAUCCAAUCAUAUAGCUGUACAAACUCAAGCUUUUGAUUCUCAUUCUUAAUUUCCAUAUCCUGUAUUUCUUAAACCCAACCACACAGCCAUCAUAACCAUCUAAUCUUAAAUCAAUAAUAGGAUAUUCCUUUCACUACGUCCUUGACGCAAAGAAUAAAGAAACAUUCAUAGAGUUCGUAAAUAUUGAAUAAGUCUAACCGUUGCUAAAUAAUUAAACCAAAUUAAAAUUACAACUUAACUUAUCAUGCUGACGUCGUUUAUGCUCAAAAUAUCUCAUCCAUCUUUAUUUUCUCAUUAUUACCUUACCCAUUCUAAUCUUCUCAAUUUUCUACAACACACAAGUGAAGAUGAGUUAUUUGAAAUUUCUUCUCUGCAAUUUAUCCAUUCUUGAAAUAAAUAGAAAAGCAAUAGAAGAUUAACACAAAAGAUUUUGUGGGUUGGUUUUGAUUCGGGGAUUUUUGUGGAUUUUGCUGAUUUGGGUUAGCCACAAGUUUUUUUGGAUUCCAACUUCAAUGCUGGCUUAGGAGAUUUUGGGCUGGCUCAUGCCUUAGAAUGAGAAAAUCUCCUAUGCAAAGCUCAAAGGAAUGCCUGGAAUAAUGGGCUACAUUGUCCCUGGAUGCUUUAAUAUUGGCAAAGCUACCUGUAAGCCCGAUGUCUAUGGAUUCAGUGCGAUGGUUCCUGUCUUUCUGAGGUGGUGUGAGGGCAAUGGCCUAGGACCAAGAUUGCUAGCUUCCAGUUCCUAUUGGAAUGGGUGUGGUGGUUGCAUUGAGAAGGGUGCAUGCUUGAGUACUAGGCAAUUAUUUCAGUGUGAAAUUUCUAACACCCCCUCGUUAUAGUUGUCAUUUAAUAAUUAAUAUUUUUAUUAUAUACGAGCUAAAAUAUAUA
Molecule: unclassified non-coding RNA, 929 nt
Filed under: Hevea brasiliensis (rubber tree)
Lineage: Eukaryota; Viridiplantae; Streptophyta; Magnoliopsida; Malpighiales; Euphorbiaceae
Source: RNAcentral